CGCGGGGUGGACCAGUAGUAGGUUGACUGUCUCAUAAGCAGUAGACCCCGGUGCAAAUCCGGGCCCCGCAA
This 71-nucleotide transfer RNA is filed under the name Candidatus Nealsonbacteria bacterium CG_4_10_14_0_2_um_filter_37_10. Its description in RNAcentral is "tRNA-Met". It matches the Rfam family "tRNA". Rfam says of the family: Transfer RNA (tRNA) molecules are approximately 80 nucleotides in length. Their secondary structure includes four short double-helical elements and three loops (D, anti-codon, and T loops). The record is from RNAcentral. RNAcentral also lists the same sequence under 2 other names. Lineage: Bacteria; Candidatus Nealsoniibacteriota.